This 588-nucleotide ribosomal RNA is filed under the name uncultured bacterium. RNAcentral describes it as "bacterial SSU rRNA". It matches the Rfam family "Bacterial small subunit ribosomal RNA", at positions 227 to 828 of the family's 1533-position model. The record is from RNAcentral.
GGGCCCGCGUUUCAUUAGCUAGUUGGUAGGGUAUAGGCCUACCAAGGCAACGAUGGGUAGCCGACCUGAGAGGGUGAUCGGCCACACUGGGACUGAGACACGGCCCAGACUCCUACGGGAGGCAGCAGUGGGGAAUAUUGCGCAAUGGGGGAAACCCUGACGCAGCAACGCCGCGUGAGUGAAGAAGGCCUUCGGGUCGUAAAACUCUGUCAUUGGGGAAGAAGAAAGUGACGGUACCCAAGGAGGAAGCCCCGGCUAACUACGUGCCAGCAGCCCGCGGUAAUACGUAGGGGGCAAGCGUUGUCUGGAAUUACUGGGCGUAAAGGGUGCGUAGGCGGCCGAUUAAGUCAUAUUUGAAAUACCAGGGCUCAACCCUGGGGGUGCAUUUGAAACUGGUUGGCUUGAGUGCAGUAGAGGAAAGUGUAAUUCCUAUUGUAGCGGUGAAAUGCGUAGAUAUUAGGAGGAACACCAGUGGCGAAGGAGACUUUCUGGACUGUAACUGACUCUGAGGCACAAAAGCGUGGGGAUCGAACAGGAUUAGAUACCGUGGUAGUCCACGCCGUAAUCGAUGUAUAGUAGGUGUCGGGG